This 468-nucleotide ribosomal RNA is filed under the name uncultured bacterium. RNAcentral describes it as "partial 16S ribosomal RNA". It matches the Rfam family "Bacterial small subunit ribosomal RNA", at positions 28 to 507 of the family's 1533-position model. The record is from RNAcentral.
GACGAACGCUGGCGGCGUGCUUAACACAUGCCAGUCGAACGGAAAGGCCCUGCCUUUGUGGGGUGCUCGAGGGGCGAACGGGUGAGUAACACGUGAGUAACCUGCCCUUGACUUUGGGAUAACUUCAGGAAAGUGGGGCUAAUACCGGAUAGGAGCUCCUGCUGCAUGGUGGGGGUUGGAAAGUUUCGGCGGUUGGGGAUGGACUCGCGGCGUAUCAGCUUGUUGGUGGGGUAGUGGCUUACCAAGGCUAUGACGGGUAGCCGGGCUGAGAGGGUGACCGGCCACGCUAGGACUGAGAUGCGGCCCAGACUCCUCCGGGAGGCAGCGGUGGGGUAUAUUGCACAAUAGGCGGGAGCCUGAUGCAACAACGCCGCGUGGGGGGUGACGGCCUUCGGGUUGGAAACCACUUUCGCCUGUGACGGAGCGUGAGUGACGGUAAUGGGUAAAGAAGCACCGGCUAACUACGUG